CUCUUAUCCAGAGAGGCUGAGGGACUGGCCCGAUGAAGCCCGGCAACCUUCAAGUCGAUUGUGACUUGAAAGGUGCUAAUUCCUGCAGGAGAAAUCCUGGCAGAUAAGAG
This 110-nucleotide non-coding RNA is filed under the name Sediminibacillus halophilus. RNAcentral's name for it is "SAM-I sequence". It matches the Rfam family "SAM riboswitch aptamer (S box leader)". Rfam says of the family: The SAM riboswitch is found upstream of a number of genes which code for proteins involved in methionine or cysteine biosynthesis in Gram-positive bacteria. The SAM riboswitch acts at the level of transcription termination control. Lineage: Bacteria; Bacillati; Bacillota; Bacilli; Caryophanales; Bacillaceae. The record is from RNAcentral.